CAGUAGCCGCGGGAAUACGUAGGGGGCAAGCGUUAUCCGGAUUUACUGGGUGUAAAGGGAGCGUAGACGGAAUGGCAAGUCUGAAGUGAAAUGCCCGGGCUCAACCCGGGAACUGCUUUGGAAACUGUCGAUCUGGAGUGUUGGAGAGGUAAGUGGAAUUCCUGGUGUAGCGGUGAAAUGAGUAGAGAUCAGGAAGAACACCGGAGGCGAAGGCGGCUUACUGGACAAAGACUGACGUUGAGGCUCGAAAGCGUGGGAAGCAAACAGGAUUAGAUACCCGCGUAGUCCCUGUCUCUUAUAA
Molecule: ribosomal RNA, 301 nt
Filed under: uncultured bacterium
Lineage: Bacteria
Description: partial 16S ribosomal RNA
Rfam family: Bacterial small subunit ribosomal RNA
Source: RNAcentral